Molecule: ribosomal RNA, 119 nt
Organism: Lepisosteus oculatus (spotted gar)
Lineage: Eukaryota; Metazoa; Chordata; Actinopteri; Semionotiformes; Lepisosteidae
Source: Ensembl
GUCAGCAGCCCUAUCACCCUGCAACUCACAACUGGCAACCCACUGAAGCUAAGCAGGUGUGAGCUUGGUCAGUACCUGGAUGGGAGACCUCCUGGGAAAAGCUAAGGUUGCUGCUGGAA